CCCUUAGAUGUUCUGGGCCGCACGCGCGCUACACUGAUGCAUUCAACGAGUUUCUUCCUGGUCCGAGAGGAAUGGGUAACCUUUUGAAAGUGCAUCGUGAUAGGGAUAGACUAUUGCAAUUAUUGGUCUUCAACGAGGAAUUCCUAGUAGACGUAGUUCAUCAGACUGCAUCGAUUACGUCCCUGCCCUUUGUACACACCGCCCGUCGCUCCUACCGAUUGAAUGCUCAGGUGAGCCAUUCGGACUUUCAUCAUGCUGGUUUCCAGUUUUGAUGAAGGAAAGUCUUGUGAACCUUAUCACUUAGAGGAAGGAGAAGUCGUAACA
This 324-nucleotide ribosomal RNA is filed under the name uncultured eukaryote. RNAcentral's name for it is "partial 18S ribosomal RNA". It matches the Rfam family "Eukaryotic small subunit ribosomal RNA", at positions 1470 to 1796 of the family's 1831-position model. The record is from RNAcentral.